AUUGGCAAGACUGCUCUUUUCAGGCUAUGGUUCCCCGUCAGGCUGAUGUGAAAUAUGCAGUCAUAGGAGAGACCUCUCCUCAUAGGAGAAACCAAUUUAUUCUCUACUCCUUGGCUUUCUCAAACCAUCAUGUUAUUCCCGUGCUUAAAAUUGUUUACUGCUUUCAAGAAAAAGGUCAACAUGAUUAACACGGCCUGUGAGCAGUGUGAUCAUAUAAUUAUCCAACUGGGGACACUUUUGAGAGCUAAAGGGAGUGCUAUUAAUAGGAGCAUCAUAACUAUGAGACUUUGCUGGUUCUGGCCCCUACGUUGCCUAGCUCCACGUUCUCCUCCACUCGUCUUGCUUGGGGGCCAUGCUUCUUCCUGCUGCAGGGCCUUUGCACAUGCUGAUCUCUCUGACUGGAACACCCCGCUGCCCCAAGUACCCCCAACUCUGCCUAGCUAAUGCUUCCCCAUCCUUCAUUCUGAGCUCAACAUCACUACUUAAGGAAGCCUCCUUAGUUCCCUGGGUGAGGCUGAUAUGCUCUCAAAGCAGCAUGUACCUUUUCUUUGUAGCACUUCCCAUUUUGUAACUCUACCUUUUUGCUUUAUUUGGGUCAUUUUUGGAUUCAGGUUUGUCUCCCUGACUGGCUGUAGGCUCCCCCAGGGCAGGGACUGUAUCUGUGGUUCCAAUGUUUAUGUGCUUGGCACACAGUCAAGGUCCCCAAAAUAUUUAUUAAAUAAAUAAGUGAAUGAAUUCUAACCAUCUUGACUUCUUAAAAUGAAGCAUCCUUUCCACUGGUUAGAGUUGAAGAGACCAGGGUUCAUAUAACACGCCCUUGGUCACAGUGGUAAAACUGAUAUUCAGCGCCAGGUCUGUUGACUGAGAGCCCAUGCACUUUCCACUAUACCGACUGCCUUUCUCUGCAGCCUGCAGAAACCACAGGCAAAAGGACUUAAAGAAAACGCUCUGAUCUGUGGACUUCCCUUAUUGCUGCAUCUCUGAUAACAUGCCCCAAUUCUUGACACUACCAAGGGAAAUGAGAAAUCUGAGUAUUUUAGAUUGGAACCAAACUUAGAGAAAUUGUCUGGAAAUCAUGGUGCCUGUUGCCUCCGAAUCACCAAGCAUCAGAGCGAGGCCUCCCACUUAAAGGGGAGCUGGAUAGAGACGAGCAAUCAGCCACUAUGUCUGGAUCCGGAAAUCGCUGCUUGUGCAUUGAAAGUGGAUGGCAGUCGUGCACACACACCGUAGAUAAUCCUGAAACUCUACUACUGAGGUUGCUGCUGGGAUUCCCAGUAUUCUCUCCACAUCCUUGAAUGGAGCGAGAGGGAGCAGGAAAAAAGUGGUCUUUGUUGUGAAGCCACAGUCCCAAACUUCAACCUAGAGGAAUGUCAAGUCCUGAAAAAAGCUACGGAGAAGGCUUGCAAUUAUGUCCUUAGUCACAACAAGAGGGUAAGAACGUUCAAGGCACUGGAUUGAGAGACACAAAAGUCAGGAAGUGACCCUUUCGUCGGGAUUUCAGAGGCCGCGGAGUAGAAACAAAGUCCUCUCUCAGCUUGGGGCACUUCGGGCGAUACCAUCCCGAGGGGCAGCGUGGGGGAGGCGGGCGAGCGCCGCGGAAACUGACAUCUGCGUGCUCACCGAGCCGCGAGUAAACUGAGGAUGGCCACGCUGAGAAGACUCGGUGGCCGCGGCUCCCCCGCCCAGAAAUGAAACGGGUUUCGGCCGAUCGUCCCUGUGGAGCCCGCUGAAAAAGAAGCCGGGUCGCCCUGGCCAGAGCCGGCCUCCUGAAUCGCGCCCUGUGCGCGCCGGACCGGGCCGCGCGCCCGAGGCUGCAGGAUGGCGUGCCGGGGCCAGCCCAUCUGCGGCCGCGAGGAAGCCGGCCCGGGAUGAAUGGGGCUUUGUUCGCCGGCCGCCGCGGCUGCCCUCGGCAGGCCCGAUCCGCACAACGGAGGCUGUAUGCGAGAGGAAUGGAAAUGAGCCUCCGGCUCUCCCGAAGGAGCCCCAUCCCCUUCCCUUCGCCGUGCGCAGGAAUGCUGGCAAGCCGGAAAGGAACCCUCGCCGGGAACGCCGCUCUCGCGGCUCUGAAACCCCAUUGAGAAGAGCCCUUUGAUGCAAUUAAAGCGCGUUUCAUUGCAGGCCGGGGAGGAGGGAAGGCCCGUCAAGCUUUUUUUCUGUCUCUGGAGCAUGUGUGUGCACCUUUGUAGGGUGGGUUACUUAGAGAGCAGGCGGCAACUUGAGCUCCCUCUCUCUCGCAGACGUUCUGUAACAUCAUAAAAGCGUACCCAUAAACAGAUUGGUUUUCACCGUGGGUGGAACCCAAUUUGGACACGAUCCAGGCUGACCUGCAGGCUAGAGUGCCUGUUUUGAAAGCCUCCUUGGUACGCCUUACACUACCUUGCCUGCUUUAAAGGUUUAGGAGGACGAGAAAUUGCAUUUGGAGGAGGAAGUUGUUUCUGAGGUCGCUGAUCAUUUUCCAUUUUCUCAGCGGGAAUGGGCCACGUCGCAGGUCCAGAAAUGGUCAGAGCCAGACCUCUAAAAUGAUGGAGGCUGCAAAUGUUGAAGGACUACGGUGCGACAGCUAUUUUGAUAAUCAGAUUCUUCUGUAAGAUUUCCUUAAUUCCUCCAUUGAGACAACUGUGUGGCCCCAGAAAACCCACAUGGCCUCUCUGAGCUUAAUAUUUUUCAUCCGUUGAAAUGAAUCUCAUAAGGCUAGAGAACAGACGUAAAGCUCUGGGUGCUUGUGAAUUCUUUCU
This 2735-nucleotide long non-coding RNA is filed under the name Equus caballus (horse). RNAcentral's name for it is "lncRNA (ENSECAG00000051512.1)". Lineage: Eukaryota; Metazoa; Chordata; Mammalia; Perissodactyla; Equidae. The record is from RNAcentral.